This 382-nucleotide ribosomal RNA is filed under the name uncultured prokaryote. RNAcentral describes it as "bacterial SSU rRNA". It matches the Rfam family "Archaeal small subunit ribosomal RNA", at positions 339 to 725 of the family's 1478-position model. The record is from RNAcentral.
GCGCGAAAACUUUACAAUGCGGGAAACCGUGAUAGGGGAACUCCGAGUGCCCGUUAAAUCGGGCUGUCCAUUGGUUUAAAUAACCAGUGAAGAAAGGGCCGGGCAAGACCGGUGCCAGCCGCCGCGGUAAUACCGGCGGCUCGAGUGGUGGCCACUAUUACUGGGCUUAAAGCGUUCGUAGCUGGUUUGUUAAGUCUCUGGGGAAAUCUUCCGGCUUAACCGGAAGGCGUCUCAGGGAUACUGGCAGACUAGGGACCGGGAGAGGUGAGGGGUACUCCAGGGGUAGGAGUGAAAUCCUGUAAUCCUUGGGGGACCACCUGUGGCGAAGGCGCCUCACCAGAACGGCUCCGACAGUGAGGGACGAAAGCUGGGGGAGCAAACC